CUUACAGAUGGACCCGCGGCGCAUUAGCUAGUUGGUGAGGUAACGGCUCACCAAGGCAACGAUGCGUAGCCGACCUGAGAGGGUGAUCGGCCACACUGGGACUGAGACACGGCCCAGACUCCUACGGGAGGCAGCAGUAGGGAAUCUUCCGCAAUGGACGAAAGUCUGACGGAGCAACGCCGCGUGAGUGAUGAAGGUUUUCGGAUCGUAAAGCUCUGUUGUUAGGGAAGAACAAGUGCCGUUCGAAUAGGGCGGCACC
Molecule: ribosomal RNA, 259 nt
Filed under: Rossellomorea vietnamensis
Lineage: Bacteria; Bacillati; Bacillota; Bacilli; Caryophanales; Bacillaceae
Description: Bacillus vietnamensis partial 16S ribosomal RNA
Rfam family: Bacterial small subunit ribosomal RNA
Source: RNAcentral